RNAcentral lists this ribosomal RNA (1229 nucleotides) under Salmonella enterica. Its description in RNAcentral is "partial 23S ribosomal RNA". It matches the Rfam family "Bacterial large subunit ribosomal RNA", at positions 494 to 1637 of the family's 2925-position model. The record is from RNAcentral. Lineage: Bacteria; Pseudomonadati; Pseudomonadota; Gammaproteobacteria; Enterobacterales; Enterobacteriaceae.
ACCAGUACCGUGAGGGAAAGGCGAAAAGAACCCCGGCGAGGGGAGUGAAAAAGAACCUGAAACCGUGUACGUACAAGCAGUGGGAGCACAGGUUUACCUGUGUGACUGCGUACCUUUUGUAUAAUGGGUCAGCGACUUAUAUUCUGUAGCAAGGUUAACCGUAUAGGGGAGCCGUAGGGAAACCGAGUCUUAACCGGGCGUUAAGUUGCAGGGUAUAGACCCGAAACCCGGUGAUCUAGCCAUGGGCAGGUUGAAGGUUGGGUAACACUAACUGGAGGACCGAACCGACUAAUGUUGAAAAAUUAGCGGAUGACCUGUGGCUGGGGGUGAAAGGCCAAUCAAACCGGGAGAUAGCUGGUUCUCCCCGAAAGCUAUUUAGGUAGCGCCUCGUGAAUUCAUCUCCGGGGGUAGAGCACUGUUUCGGCUAGGGGGCCAUCCCGGCUUACCAACCCGAUGCAAACUGCGAAUACCGGAGAAUGUUAUCACGGGAGACACACGGCGGGUGCUAACGUCCGUCGUGAAGAGGGAAACAACCCAGACCGCCAGCUAAGGUCCCAAAGUCAUGGUUAAGUGGGAAACGAUGUGGGAAGGCCCAGACAGCCAGGAUGUUGGCUUAGAAGCAGCCAUCAUUUAAAGAAAGCGUAAUAGCUCACUGGUCGAGUCGGCCUGCGCGGAAGAUGUAACGGGGCUAAACCAUGCACCGAAGCUGCGGCAGCGAACGUAUCACCCAAGACAACUUUACGGAGUUGACGAUUGACGGAGCGAAGCGACGUCAAAGCGUUCAUUAAAGUCGAGUUGGCUUAGGGAUACGUUCGUUGGGUAGGGGAGCGUUCUGUAAGCCUGUGAAGGUGUGUCGUGAGGCAUGCUGGAGGUAUCAGAAGUGCGAAUGCUGACAUAAGUAACGAUAAAGCGGGUGAAAAGCCCGCUCGCCGGAAGACCAAGGGUUCCUGUCCAACGUUAAUCGGGGCAGGGUGAGUCGACCCCUAAGGCGAGGCCGAAAGGCGUAGUCGAUGGGAAACGGGUUAAUAUUCCCGUACUUGGUGUUACUGCGAAGGGGGGACGGAGAAGGCUAUGUUGGCCGGGCGACGGUUGUCCCGGUUUAAGCGUGUAGGUGUGUGUUCCAGGUAAAUCCGGUUCACUUUAACACUGAGGCGUGACGACGAGGCACUACGGUGCUGAAGCAACAAAUGCCCUGCUUCCAGGAAAAGCCUCUAAGCAUCAGGUAACAC